Molecule: microRNA, 19 nt
Filed under: Schistosoma mansoni
Lineage: Eukaryota; Metazoa; Platyhelminthes; Trematoda; Strigeidida; Schistosomatidae
Description: sma-miR-8407-5p
Source: miRBase by way of RNAcentral
CGUGAAUAUUAAUAUUACG